This 354-nucleotide ribosomal RNA is filed under the name uncultured bacterium. RNAcentral's name for it is "bacterial SSU rRNA". It matches the Rfam family "Bacterial small subunit ribosomal RNA", at positions 527 to 881 of the family's 1533-position model. The record is from RNAcentral.
GUAGGGUGCAAGCGUUAAUCGGAAUUACUGGGCGUAAAGCGUGCGCAGGCGGUUAUGCAAGACAGAGGUGAAAUCCCCGGGCUCAACCUGGGAACUGCCUUNGUGACUGCAUGGCUAGAGUACGGUAGAGGGGGAUGGAACUCCGCGUGUAGCAGUGAAAUGCGUAGAUAUGCGGAGGAACACCGAUGGCGAAGGCAAUCCCCUGGGCCUGUACUGACGCUCAUGCACGAAAGCGUGGGGAGCAAACAGGAUUAGAUACCCUGGUAGUCCACGCCCUAAACGAUGUCAACUGGUUGUUGGGGAUUCAUUUCCUUAGUAACGUAGCUAACGCGUGAAGUUGACCGCCUGGGGAGU